Alnus glutinosa is the source of this 139-nucleotide small nucleolar RNA. RefSeq annotates it as small nucleolar RNA Z247. The transcript has a single exon. NCBI's taxonomy places the organism in Eukaryota, Viridiplantae, Streptophyta, Magnoliopsida, Fagales, Betulaceae. The record is from RefSeq and is a predicted model, not a curated record.
CAUCUCAAUGACUUUGAAAGCAUCUCUUAUCUUCUUGCUGGCCUCGGAUCCGAUUAUGAUCCGUUUGUUACCUCAAUUAAAACUCGGCUGGAUCCUCUCUUCGCUGAUGAAAUCUAUGGUCAUCUUCUUAAUCUGGAUC